CGCAUUGAGACGAUCGCUUGUUGGAGUAUCAGUCAACAAGAGGAAAGUCCGGGCAGCAUAGGAUACGACAGUCGCUAACGGCGACCGGGGGUAACCCUAGGGAAAGUGCCACAGAAACGAAACUACUCUACUGGUUAGAGCAAAGGUGAAACGAGUGGGGUAAGAGCCCACAGUCUGCCUUGGUGACAAGGUGGGGAGGUAAACCCUGUCGGCUGCAAGGGGAACAGCUCAGAUAAGUGAUCCGCUUGAGAUGUUCGCGCAAUCCGCUUGAAUAGCGUAGCAAUACACUAUCUAGAUAGAUGAUCGUCCUCGACAGAACCCGGCUUAUCAAUGCAGCAA
This 339-nucleotide RNase P RNA is filed under the name Candidatus Saccharimonadota bacterium. RNAcentral describes it as "RNase P RNA component class A". It matches the Rfam family "Bacterial RNase P class A". Rfam says of the family: Ribonuclease P (RNase P) is a ubiquitous endoribonuclease, found in archaea, bacteria and eukarya as well as chloroplasts and mitochondria. Its best characterised activity is the generation of mature 5'-ends of tRNAs by cleaving the 5'-leader elements of precursor-tRNAs. The record is from RNAcentral. Lineage: Bacteria; Candidatus Saccharimonadota.